GUGGAUGGAAUAUGAUGGAAUGGUACAUAGACUCCUUUUGUAUGAUUUCAUCUCUCUCCUAUUUCUCUUUCUUUUGGACAUGGGCUAUCUUUUUCUCUUUUUCUCUUCUCUCUUUUUUUCUUUUUCUCUUUUUUAAUCAUGCUUUGAGCAUGGCUUUAUUUCUUUUUGCAUAGCCCAUGUCUCUUUUGGAAGGAUACAUUUAGAGAGAGAGGACACACCAUAUGUGGAGCUUUAUUUGGUGGAUAAAUGGAUGGGAUGUUACUAGCUUCCAAUGUAGAAGUCUAGUAUGUGGAAGUGGAGUGUACAUGAUAUUGAUCAAGAAAGUAGGAAAAAUAUUCCACAAGGGUCACAACAAUUUGGCAAAGCUCAUCAUGAUAGCAAGCAGCAUAUGUGUAUAGGUUCUUUCAUUAAGAUCAACAUAUGACUUUGGUAGGAUGGAGGCAUAUCAUUGAGGAGCUAGCUAGGUCAUUGUUUUCAUGAUAAAUUUCCCAAGUACUUUAGGCAGAACAGCGCAAGGUUCA
RNAcentral lists this long non-coding RNA (521 nucleotides) under Setaria viridis. RNAcentral's name for it is "long non-coding RNA (SVIR_LNC008977)". Lineage: Eukaryota; Viridiplantae; Streptophyta; Magnoliopsida; Poales; Poaceae. The record is from RNAcentral.